Molecule: long non-coding RNA, 370 nt
Filed under: Brassica napus (rape)
Lineage: Eukaryota; Viridiplantae; Streptophyta; Magnoliopsida; Brassicales; Brassicaceae
Description: long non-coding RNA (BNAP_LNC014573)
Source: RNAcentral
AAUAUUUAUCAAAUAUAAAACUAACUGAACAAAACAUAAAACAUACUUUAAGUUAGGCUUGAACGUUUAGGUACCCGUUGCGAUACGGGUUGGGUAUUUAGAAUUUUGGUUCUAAUUUAUAUCACAUCAUAGGUCUCAUUCAUGGUAAAUUUGUAAGUAUAUCAGGUUCAAAUAUAAAACAUCAAUUUUUCUUCUAAAUAGUAUCACAUCUAAAAUCCAUAAAAGUAACCAUAUAUUGUUUCUAUUCAGGUUAUAUGGGUUUAGUUUAGAUAUAUUCGAAGUUUAAUCCAAAAUUGAAAAGCAAAAUAUAAGAAAUAAACUUAUUUAUAUAGAAUUAGAUAUUUAAGGUACUUAUUGAAGAUUUAAAUAC